UACGUAGGGGGCAAGCGUUGUCCGGAAUCAUUGGGCGUAAAGCGCGUGUAGGCGGCCUUGUAAGUCUGUUCUGAAAGCCCGGGGCUCAACCCCGGGAGGCGGAUGGAUACUGCAAGGCUCGAGUACGGAAGAGGCGAGUGGAAUUCCCGGUGUAGCGGUGAAAUGCGCAGAUAUCGGGAGGAACACCAAUGGCGAAGGCAGCUCGCUGGGACGUUACUGACGCUGAGACGCGAAAGCGUGGGAGCAA
RNAcentral lists this ribosomal RNA (247 nucleotides) under uncultured bacterium. Its description in RNAcentral is "partial 16S ribosomal RNA". It matches the Rfam family "Bacterial small subunit ribosomal RNA", at positions 524 to 771 of the family's 1533-position model. The record is from RNAcentral.